RNAcentral lists this long non-coding RNA (618 nucleotides) under Rattus norvegicus (Norway rat). RNAcentral's name for it is "long non-coding RNA NONRATT024921". Lineage: Eukaryota; Metazoa; Chordata; Mammalia; Rodentia; Muridae. The record is from RNAcentral.
UUUCUAACGCGUGGAGGGCGAGCCGGCGCCGCACGCUCCCUGAAGACUGCACAAACUCCAGGCAGGGCUCCUCCGCCCGGUCUGCGGAUCCUCAGCUGGGGAUCGCUCAGGAUCCCGGCGCUGCAGCUCCGCACCCCAGAGGCACGCUCACUCGUCCAGAUCCACGCGGCGAACAGAGACCCACUGACUCCAGAGUGCGGUUCUGCACUGCGCUGGCGGCUUCUGGGUAACAAAAGGACCCGAGUUGUCGGCCGAGCGAGCACCCCCGGGAGCGGGGCUCGCAGCCGGGGACCAGCCCUGCGGCGCCCAUCUGGGGGCUAGUUCUUAACUCUCCUCUACGGAGCCCCAGACGGGUCCCCUCCCUUCUUGAUCCUUUUAAGUCUGUGGCACAGAGGCGCCUGCACCCGCGGCUCAUCCAUCUCUCCAGUGGGGUUUUUCUUUUUGGUUUGUUUGUUUUGUCGUGUGCGAUCCCCACACUCAUGAACAUACACAGGUCUACCCCUAUCACAAUAGCGAGAUAUGGGAGAUCGCGGAACAAAACCCAGGAUUUCGAAGAGCUGUCGUCUAUAAGGUCCGCUGAGCCCAGCCAGAGUUUCAGCCCGAACCUUGGCUCUCCGA